Molecule: long non-coding RNA, 498 nt
Filed under: Marmota monax (woodchuck)
Lineage: Eukaryota; Metazoa; Chordata; Mammalia; Rodentia; Sciuridae
Source: RNAcentral
CUUUUGGAGAAAACAGGGAAAUAUUCAUGUACUGAAAUAGCUCCCCCAAUUAUUUUGUCAGAUUUCUUUGAAGCUGCCCAUGAUUCAUCUGUAAGCUUGCCCCACUAGACUCCCCAAUUUCAAAACUUCUAUGAUCAAAUGUUCUUUAAGCAGAUUAGGUUUAGGGUUAGACUUAGUGUUAGAAAUAGGUUUAGACCUAGUGUUAGGGUUACAGUUAUUUUUUAAAAAUUUCUGUGGAUCUGGGCAGGUUGCACCUUUUUCCUAUUUUUGUGAUAGUAGGAGCAAAUGUGACUCCAUUUUGUUUUAUGACAUCAUCCUGUAAAACAACCAUGCCAAGUAGAAGAGUCAUAUCUGGGGCAAAAUGUUCUUUUUUCUUUUGCUGUAGAAACCUUUAAGAACACAAAACUACCUAAUGGGGUAUUGUUUCUGUAACUAGGGUAAUGGGGCUCUGUUUCUCUAAUGGGGUGACUGGGCUAACUGUGAUUGGUUAGGCUUCCC